CCUACGAGCGGCAGCAGUGGGGAAUAUUGGACAAUGGGCGAAAGCCUGAUCCAGCCAUGCCGCGUGUGUGAAGAAGGCCUUCGGGUUGUAAAGCACUUUCAGUGGGGAAGAAAGCCUUGGGGCUAAUACCCUCGAGGAAGGACAUCACCCACAGAAGAAGCACCGGCUAACUCCGUGCCAGCAGCCGCGGUAAUACGGAGGGUGCGAGCGUUAAUCGGAAUUACUGGGCGUAAAGCGCGCGUAGGCGGUCUGAUAAGCCGGUUGUGAAAGCCCCGGGCUCAACCUGGGAACGGCAUCCGGAACUGUCAGGCUAGAGUGCAGGAGAGGAAGGGAGAAUUCCCGGUGUAGCGGUGAAAUGCGUAGAGAUCGGGAGGAAUACCAGUGGCGAAGGCGGCCUUCUGGACUGACACUGACGCUGAGGUGAGAAAGCGUGGGUAGCAAACAGGAUUAGAUACCCCUGUAGUC
Molecule: ribosomal RNA, 465 nt
Filed under: Vreelandella stevensii
Lineage: Bacteria; Pseudomonadati; Pseudomonadota; Gammaproteobacteria; Oceanospirillales; Halomonadaceae
Description: partial 16S ribosomal RNA
Rfam family: Bacterial small subunit ribosomal RNA
Source: RNAcentral